RNAcentral lists this ribosomal RNA (1946 nucleotides) under human metagenome. Its description in RNAcentral is "bacterial LSU rRNA". It matches the Rfam family "Bacterial large subunit ribosomal RNA", at positions 3 to 1977 of the family's 2925-position model. The record is from RNAcentral.
UCAAGUUACAAAGGGCGCAGGGCGGAUGCCUUGGCACCAGGAGCCGAAGAAGGACGUGAUAAGCUGCGAAAAGCUGCGGGGAGGAGCAAAUAUCCAUUGAUCCGCAGGUAUCCGAAUGGGGAAACCCGGCAGAAAGAACUUCUGUCACCGUAUGAUGAAUCCAUAGUCAUACGGAGGGAACCCGGCGAACUGAAACAUCUAAGUAGCCGGAGGAAGAGGAAGAAACAUCGAAUCCCUAAGUAGUGGCGAGCGAAAGGGGACGAAGCCCAAACCAAGGAUUUAUCCUUGGGGUUGAGGACCACAUACGAAGAAGCAGUAGGUAGCAGAACGGUUUUGGGAAAGCCGGCCAAAGAGAGUGAAAGCCUCGUAUGCGAAACAGACUGUGAUUCAGUGGUAUCCGGAGUACUACGGGACACGAGAAACCCCGUAGGAAGCAGGGGGGACCACCCCCCAAGGCGAAAUACUACCUGGUGACCGAUAGAGUAUAGUACCGUGAGGGAAAGGUGAAAAGAACCCCGGGAGGGGAGUGAAAGAGAACCUGAAACCCUGUGUCUACAAGCUGCGGAAGCACGACUAACGUGCGACCGUGUACUUUUUGUAGAACGGUCCGGCGAGUUGCCGUUGCUGGCAGGUUAAGUACUUAAGGUACGGAGCCGAAGGGAAACCAAGUCUUAAUAGGGCGGUAAGUCAGUAACGGCAGACCCGAAACCGGGUGACCUACCCAUGGCCAGGAUGAAGUCUGCGUAAAAGUGGAUGGAGGUCCGAACACACGUCUGUUGAAAAAGGCGGUGAUGAGCUGUGGGUAGCGGAGAAAUUCCAAUCGAACUCGGAGAUAGCUGGUUCUCCCCGAAAUAGCUUUAGGGCUAGCCUCGGUAUAGUCUAAUGGAGGUAGAGCACUGAAUCGCUGCGGGGGCGUCAAAGUCUACCAAUGCGUAUCAAACUCCGAAUGCCAUAUAGAUGUUUACCGGGAGUCAGACUGUAUGAGAUAAGUCGGACAGUCAAAAGGGAAACAGCCCAGACCAUCUGCUAAGGUCCCAAAGUGUAUGUUAAGUGGUAAAGGAUGUGGGGUUUCGAAGACAACUAGGAUGUUGGCUCAGAAGCAGCCAUUCAUUCAAAGAGUGCGUAAUAGCUCACUAGUCGAGAGGUCCUGCGCCGAAAAUGUCCGGGGCUGAAACAUAACACCGAAGCAAUGGAAUAUACCGUAAGGUAUGUUGGUAGGGGAGCAUUGAUAACACGAAGAAGCGGUACCGUAAGGAGCCGUGGAGGGUUAUCAAGAGAGAAUGCCGGAAUGAGUAGCGAGAUGAAGGUGAGAAUCCUUCAGGCCGUAUAUCCAAGGUUUCCAGGGUAAAGCUGAUCUUCCCUGGGGAAGUCGGGACCUAAGCUCAGGCUGAGAAGCGUAGGCGAUGGACAACUGGUUGAUAUUCCAGUACCUCUGGCUAUCAGAAAUGUGGGGACACGGAGAUUCAGGGAGUGCCUGUAAAGGAUUCAGGUGCAAGCAUGGUUUAUGCCGGGCAGGCAAAUCCGUCCGGGUAAGUGGACUGUGUGAUGCGGACCGAAAUAUAAGUAGGGAAGCUCCUGGGAGAGCCGUCGAGAAAAGCCGCUAUUGUGUAGUCAGAGCCCGUACCGUAAACCGACACAGGUGGAUGGGGAGAGUAUCCCAAGGCCGGCGGGAGAAGCAUUGUUAAGGAACUCGGCAAAAUGGCCCCGUAAGUUCGCGAUAAGGGGUGCCUGUAGAGAUACAGGCCGCAGAGAAUAGGCUCAAGCAACUGUUUAGCAAAAACACAGGUCUAUGCGAAACCGUAAGGUGAUGUAUAUGGGCUGACGCCUGCCCGGUGCUGGAAGGUUACGGGGAGUGCUUAGGAGCAAUCCGAAGGUACGAACUUAAGCCCCAGUAAACGGCGGCCGUAACUAUAACGGUCCUAAGGUAGCGAAAUUCCUUGUCGGGU